GGGAGGGAAGCGAUUCUGGUGUCGGUAUUGAGAAGGAAACAAUAUUGGUCUGAAAAGAAAGGAGGGCAGACAUCAACGUGGCUGUGAGGGAACUCAUCCACCCAAUCAACAUUGACAAAAACUCGAUCAAGACGACAAUGACGUUUGAUUAUUAGUCCAAGUGAAGAGUGGACCACUAUAAUGAUGAUCCCAAACCUGCAGUCCAUUGAUCCAAUUCUGAAAGUUCUUCAUCCCAGCAGUAAUAAAGUUCAUAUUAGAGGUAUCAGAAGGAGAGGCCAUUGCAUUAAAAUCACCCAUAAAAAUAAAAGCACCUGAAAAGGGGAUGGAGGAUCCAUAAAAUUGACGUCACCACGCUUCCUUGUUAGCUCCAUAAACAAAUAAACAAUAGAACCCUGAACCUUGACCAAUGUACCCAAUGUGCAGAAGGAUGUGUUGAUCCGAGGCAUUAAUAAUCUGAAGGGUAACAACAGGCUUCCACAAAAACCAGAUUUUUUCAAAAGAUGACGAGGAACAAGUAGCAAAGUGAUUCUACAAAGUUGAUCAGAGGAUUGAGAAACACAGACAAAGCCGUCUCUACCACACAAACGAAUUGCCAUAGCCUGAAACACGCGAAUAGGGGGAAUGGGUCCAAGAAAUUGAGCGACGAGGCGUCACUUCAUCUUUAGCAAACCCUUCUCCACUGUAGAUAUGGGAAUUUGCAAGAUACCGUUGAUGAGGAUCGGCUUGAUAUAUGAGAGGGAAAACUCAGAUUCACCUUCAAAGAGAGCAGCCCAGGGGUUCAGAGCAGGAGGGGGAGGAAAGGAUGAGAAAGGGGAGGAGGGCGGAGGGGUGGACGCGCAACCACUCGCCACCAUGAACCGAUGGAUCGAAUGCAGCGCCUCACCGGAGUAGCAAAACCCGACGAAAAUCAGAAGAAAUUUCAUAGAGAAUCACGCGCUACAUGCGACAUACUCUACUGUUUUCUUUAAAAAAAAUUCAAGGAACGACUGGAUAGUUAUUGUCAAGAGGAGAUUGAUCAACUUCUUCUUCGUCUUCAGUAUUAGAGAAUGGGGUUUAAUGGGAGAAUAAAAAAUUGUUUGGGUGGGAUGUGAGUGAGGUAAAUAUUCCGGGGGAGAUGGCAUGAAGGAAGUUUCUUAGACAUGGAGUUGGUUUUCAAGGUAUGGAGUUUACAGAAAAAACAGUAGGAUAAAGGGACGACGAUGGGAUAAUUUCUUAGGUAUCCACUACAAUUGAAGAGAAGUGACUACUACAAUCCAAC
This 1258-nucleotide long non-coding RNA is filed under the name Linum usitatissimum (flax). RNAcentral describes it as "long non-coding RNA (LUSI_LNC003509)". Lineage: Eukaryota; Viridiplantae; Streptophyta; Magnoliopsida; Malpighiales; Linaceae. The record is from RNAcentral.